RNAcentral lists this ribosomal RNA (1486 nucleotides) under Salmonella enterica subsp. enterica serovar Braenderup. RNAcentral describes it as "partial 23S ribosomal RNA". It matches the Rfam family "Bacterial large subunit ribosomal RNA", at positions 683 to 2149 of the family's 2925-position model. The record is from RNAcentral. Lineage: Bacteria; Pseudomonadati; Pseudomonadota; Gammaproteobacteria; Enterobacterales; Enterobacteriaceae.
CUUAAUUGGGCGUUAAGUUGCAGGGUAUAGACCCGAAACCCGGUGAUCUAGCCAUGGGCAGGUUGAAGGUUGGGUAACACUAACUGGAGGACCGAACCGACUAAUGUUGAAAAAUUAGCGGAUGACCUGUGGCUGGGGGUGAAAGGCCAAUCAAACCGGGAGAUAGCUGGUUCUCCCCGAAAGCUAUUUAGGUAGCGCCUCGUGAAUUCAUCUCCGGGGGUAGAGCACUGUUUCGGCUAGGGGGCCAUCCCGGCUUACCAACCCGAUGCAAACUGCGAAUACCGGAGAAUGUUAUCACGGGAGACACACGGCGGGUGCUAACGUCCGUCGUGAAGAGGGAAACAACCCAGACCGCCAGCUAAGGUCCCAAAGUCAUGGUUAAGUGGGAAACGAUGUGGGAAGGCCCAGACAGCCAGGAUGUUGGCUUAGAAGCAGCCAUCAUUUAAAGAAAGCGUAAUAGCUCACUGGUCGAGUCGGCCUGCGCGGAAGAUGUAACGGGGCUAAACCAUGCACCGAAGCUGCGGCAGCGACGCUUAUGCGUUGUUGGGUAGGGGAGCGUUCUGUAAGCCUGCGAAGGUGGCCUGUGAGGGUUGCUGGAGGUAUCAGAAGUGCGAAUGCUGACAUAAGUAACGAUAAAGCGGGUGAAAAGCCCGCUCGCCGGAAGACCAAGGGUUCCUGUCCAACGUUAAUCGGGGCAGGGUGAGUCGACCCCUAAGGCGAGGCCGAAAGGCGUAGUCGAUGGGAAACGGGUUAAUAUUCCCGUACUUGGUGUUACUGCGAAGGGGGGACGGAGAAGGCUAUGUUGGCCGGGCGACGGUUGUCCCGGUUUAAGCGUGUAGGUGUGUGUUCCAGGUAAAUCCGGUUCACUUUAACACUGAGGCGUGACGACGAGGCACUACGGUGCUGAAGCAACAAAUGCCCUGCUUCCAGGAAAAGCCUCUAAGCAUCAGGUAACAUCAAAUCGUACCCCAAACCGACACAGGUGGUCAGGUAGAGAAUACCAAGGCGCUUGAGAGAACUCGGGUGAAGGAACUAGGCAAAAUGGUGCCGUAACUUCGGGAGAAGGCACGCUGACACGUAGGUGAAGUGAUUUACUCAUGGAGCUGAAGUCAGUCGAAGAUACCAGCUGGCUGCAACUGUUUAUUAAAAACACAGCACUGUGCAAACACGAAAGUGGACGUAUACGGUGUGACGCCUGCCCGGUGCCGGAAGGUUAAUUGAUGGGGUCAGCGCAAGCGAAGCUCCUGAUCGAAGCCCCGGUAAACGGCGGCCGUAACUAUAACGGUCCUAAGGUAGCGAAAUUCCUUGUCGGGUAAGUUCCGACCUGCACGAAUGGCGUAAUGAUGGCCAGGCUGUCUCCACCCGAGACUCAGUGAAAUUGAACUCGCUGUGAAGAUGCAGUGUACCCGCGGCAAGACGGAAAGACCCCGUGAACCUUUACUAUAGCUUGACACUGAACAUUGAGCCUUGAUGUGUAGGAUAGGUG